AGAGUUUGAUUCUGGCUCAGAUUGAACGCUGGCGGCGUGCUUAACACAUGCAAGUCGAACGUGAAAGUCCUUCGGGAUGAGUAAAGUGGCGCACGGGUGAGUAACGCGUGGAUAAUCUACCCUUAAGAUGGGGAUAACGGCUGGAAACGGUCGCUAAUACCGAAUACGCUCCCGAUUUUAUCGUUGGGGGGAAAGAUGGCCUCUGCUUGCAAGCUAUCGCUUAAGGAUGAGUCCGCGUCCCAUUAGCUAGUUGGCGGGGUAACGGCCCACCAAGGCGACGAUGGGUAGCCGGUCUGAGAGGAUGACCGGCCACACUGGAACUGGAACACGGUCCAGACUCCUACGGGAGGCAGCAGUGGGGAAUAUUGCGCAAUGGGCGAAAGCCUGACGCAGCGACGCCGCGUGAGGGAUGAAGGUUCUCGGAUCGUAAACCUCUGUCAGGGGGGAAGAAACCCCCUCGUGUGAAUAAUGCGAGGGCUUGACGGUACCCCCAAAGGAAGCACCGGCUAACUCCGUGCCAGCAGCCGCGGUAAUACGGAGGGUGCAAGCGUUAAUCGGAAUCACUGGGCGUAAAGCGCACGUAGGCGGCCCGGUAAGUCAGGGGUGAAAUCCCACAGCCCAACUGUGGAACUGCCCUUGAUACUGCCGGGCUUGAGUACCGGAGAGGGUGGCGGAAUUCCAGGUGUAGGAGUGAAAUCCGUAGAUAUCUGGAGGAACACCGGUGGCGAAGGCGGCCACCUGGACGGUAACUGACGCUGAGGUGCGAAAGCGUGGGUAGCAAACAGGAUUAGAUACCCUGGUAGUCCACGCCGUAAACGAUGGGUGCUGGGUGCUGGGAUGUAUGUCUCGGUGCCGUAGCCAACGCGAUAAGCACCCCGCCUGGGGAGUACGGUCGCAAGGCUGAAACUCAAAGAAAU
RNAcentral lists this ribosomal RNA (917 nucleotides) under human gut metagenome. Its description in RNAcentral is "bacterial SSU rRNA". It matches the Rfam family "Bacterial small subunit ribosomal RNA", at positions 8 to 910 of the family's 1533-position model. The record is from RNAcentral.